RNAcentral lists this long non-coding RNA (536 nucleotides) under Monodelphis domestica (gray short-tailed opossum). RNAcentral describes it as "lncRNA (ENSMODG00000050054.1)". The record is from RNAcentral. Lineage: Eukaryota; Metazoa; Chordata; Mammalia; Didelphimorphia; Didelphidae.
AGGCUAGAGUACUCAAGGCAGAAGCUAUACUAUGAGAACAGAAGAAUUCGCAAGCCACAGCUUUUGGGGCCAAGCUUCCCGGAAUUAGCCUGUUCCUUUGAAGAGAACAGGCUAAAGUUUGAAAGUUUUCUUGGCGAAGAUACUGGAAUGGUUUGCCAUUUUCCUUCUCCAGAUCAUUUUACAGAUGAGGAAACUGAGACAAACAAGACUAUCCCUAAAGAAGAAGAAAGCAGCAAGAUGGCGCAGUGAAUGGAAUGACAGGCCUGGAGUCAGGAAGACGCAUCUUUGUGAGUUCAAUCUGGCCCCAAAUACUUACUAGCUGUGUGACCUUGGGCAAAUCAUUUAUCCCUGUUUAACUCAGUUCCUCAUCUGUAAAAUGAACUGGAAAAGAAAAUGUCCAACUACUCCUUUAUCUUUACCAAGAAAACCCUAAAUAGGGUCACAAAGAGUCAGAUAUGGCUGAGCAGCUAGGUGGUAUAAUAGAUAAAAUUCUAGGCUUAAAGUCAGAAAGAUCCAUCUUCCUAACUUCAUAUCUG